Syngnathus typhle (broad-nosed pipefish) is the source of this 3852-nucleotide long non-coding RNA. RefSeq lists it as uncharacterized. The transcript has 4 exons. The record is from RefSeq and is a predicted model, not a curated record. NCBI's taxonomy places the organism in Eukaryota, Metazoa, Chordata, Actinopteri, Syngnathiformes, Syngnathidae.
ACGUAUUACACUUGCCCUAACGCGAAAGUGAGCGGCGGCGGCGCCAGAAAUAAGCGAGGCAACUUGUUUGGAGUUGUUUGCCGGUUAAAAAAAAAACUUAGUUAUUCUGUAAGUAUUUCUUUAGCUUUCUUUAAGCAACAUUUUCGUCGCACUGAAAAUAACUGCUAACGUCUCGAGUUGAUCCAUUCGUCAAAAGUUUUUCAACCCGUUGCCGUGUGAAUAAAGCCAUUUUCUAUUUGAAAUGUUGCUCGUCUACUUUUAUAAUCUCAUUCCUACUCCCAUUUAAAAGUCUUAAUUACUUACAUUAUUUUGACUCCAAGGGAAACGUUUCUUUGUAGUAGUGUUAUGUCUGUCAGGUUUACCCAUUGAUAUAAAAUCUUCAGUAUAUAACCGACCAUUUAUAGAUUCUCUCACAAAGCUGUUAUUCGUAGUUUGUCUCGGUGUACAUGGCAGCUUCGGUAACCCAAAUGGGAUUUGCUUGGUGCUUUCGGUGAAGUCACAAGACGCACUUUUGUGACCUCCAAUGUGAUGUUAAAUCACCUCGCCACCAGAGGGCGACAAAACUGUAAGAUCAACUUAGUCAUGAAUGGAAAAUUCAUCAUCUUUUAAUUCUGCUGUACGCUAGUUUUGUGUUUCUUUGCAGCAGAGCUAAUGGCAAACGGACGCGUUGAAAUUCAUGACCCUUUGGCCAACCUCAACCACCUCAGCCGGCCAGACAGCCCUGUCACUAAAGAGGAAGAACCUAGAUAAAAGGAAAAGUCAUAAACUUGUUAAGACAAGGCCUCCAGGAGAACGCCAUCAACGGUGCCCACCUGUGGAUGGAGACCAGCUGCUCGGGCGAACUCUGCUACCUCGGGGAGGACGCCUGCCUGCUCAAGGCUGCGAAGUCUGCGCCCAGGAGGAAGUGGGUCGCCUGCAAGAUCGUCGUCCACACCAGCUGCACCGAGCAGCUGGAGAAGGUAGUGCGCACGCACGCACGCACGCACGCACGCACGCACGCACGCACGCACGCACGCACGCACGCACGCACGCACGCACGCACGCACGCACGCACGCACGCACACAGGAAAUCCAGAGCCCUGACGUGACGCCUUGGCCGUCUCGUGAUCAAGAUCAACUUCAGGUGCAAGCCGACUUUCAGGGUAGGAGGCUCACGGUGCCUGCGAGAUAACGUGCUGAGCUGCAGUGCGGGAAGGUCUGUGGCAGCCAUGCAGCCAGGCUGGUAGGCCAGCUAAAUGGACGCCCGGCCGCCCCGUCUCUGCGAGCGACAUCCCUUUCCGUCCUCGUCUUUUGUUUGUCCUUUCCUUCCGCAGAGCUUUCAGCAGAAGUUCUUCCACAGUAAUCAUCGCCAUCAGCUGUUCGUGGUGCAAGCAGGCUGUGAGUUUGGCUCAAAUUGGAAUUCUCGCGUGCGAACGGGCUUGCCCACCAUCUGAGCUAAAUUCCGUCAGACUAUAGACACAAAACAUGUAACGAACUCGGCGAUGUGAUGUGUGAAAAUGUUGAAACGAGCUGCUGGCCGGUGCUAAUUUGUGUGCUUUGCGCGGGCAGUUCCACAACAAGGUCACGUGCUUCAUGCUGCACCAGAUCGAGGAACCUUUGGGCUUCAAGUCAUUCGUUUGGAAGCACUUUGGAUUCCAAAGAAAAGAUGGCUCAACGGCCAAUUAAAAUUAUUGUCAAUAAAUAGUUCAGUAAUGCACUUUAAAGUUAAUGGUAUUACAAAAAAAGAAAGAAUAUUCAUUUUUCUUUACUUACUUAUAUGAGAAAAAAUAUAGUAAUUUGAUUAAGUUCAGUGUUAAAAUAAGCACUUGUAUACUACAAUACUAAAUAAAGAGUUUGCAGUACCUUGUUGAUUUUGCGUAUGAAUGGUUAUAAAUCAGGAUAUUGUUCUAUAUUUUUUAUUUAAAAAAAAUUAUAUAUAUCGAUCGUGGAGCACUAUAUCGUGAUGUAUCGUGAAUGAAUCACAGCAGGCUUUAAGAUAUCGGCAAACAUCGUAUCGCGAUUCUUUGUAUCGAUAUGAUAUCGUAUCGUGACAAAACCCGCGAUUUACACCCCUAUUAUGGAGCGUCUUUGUGUUUUGGGAUGGCUUUACUGCUCCUACUUGCUUCCUCUGGAGGCAUGAUUAGAGUUGAUGCAAUCCUCAGAGUAACAAGAACGUAAAGGAGUCAAUUGGCAUGCGGGUCCUCUCGUUUCAUCUCGCGAGGUUCGACAACCGAAUUUCGUCCGACAUCCGAAGCAAAGAAAUCUCGAAUUUUUUGUUCGAAUACCGAUUUGUUCGAGAACCGGGACGUUCGAAAACCGAGGCUCCGCUGUAUUUGUAAUAGGAAAAAUAGAUUCGGAAUUCGACCGAUUUGCUUCUUGAACCGCCUUCUGGAACGGAUUGCGGUCGAAAACCGAGGUUUGACUGUAUUUUUGCUAUUAUUGUUAAAAUCACACUUAGAUGUGAACUGGAAAUGACAAUAACAACACAUAGUGAAAGCUAAAUUGAGCAAAUUGGCUAUUUCAGAAGUGUGUGUCAAACUGGUAGCCCUUUGUCUUAAUCAGUCCUCAGGAAGUAGCUCUCGGUUUAAGAAAGGUUGGUGACCCCUGUCCUAAAGGUUAGACACAUGUGAUCAUUCAUUUCUCUUGUUAGGAGACACACAUCGCCAAUGACUCCUGUACCACUGUAACCGACAUAUGUUCAAGAACGUAAAAAAGGAAGGAAGUGUUAUCUAUCGCCUGAAAACGGCCUUCAAAAUAAAUCACCCUACCUCAAAUCAAAGCAUGGCUGAAUAACAUAAAUAACAUGGAGAAUUCUUAUCACAAACUGUAAAUAUGUUUUUAGAACAACUUUUAUUAUUAUACAUUUUUUAUAACAAGGUAGAAGUGUACAUACUGUAAAUAUGUUCUUAGAACUCUUUUAUUAUUAUAACAAUUUUCUAUAACAAGGUACAACACUGUAAAUAUGUUUUUAGAACUCUUAUUAUAAUAACCUUUUUUCUUUUUUUUUUUUAAAAAGGUACAAGUGUACGCACUGCAAUUGUGUGGGCACUCCUUGCCUUCUGCUCGCGUGUGGGCAAGUUUUGUGCAAUAAUUCCUCAAUUUAGAAGUUUGAUUUUGACUUUUAAUUCUUUUUUUCAAUUUGGGAAAAAAAUCUGCGAUGUAGUAAAACCGCGUUAAACAAACCGGGAUGUAGCGAGGGAUUACUGUACAUCACUGAAAUUUGUAAAGAGACGGUUGCCUUGUUUAAGGAUUUCAACUCAAAGAGACACUAUCAGACUAAACAUGCGAACACAAACGACCAGCUAACAGGGAGUGACCGCGCUGAUAAAGUGAAGCAGCUCCAAGCUGAACUGGCAUCACAACAGCGAUUCUUCACACGGGACUGUGAGUCAAAAAUAAAUAUUACUAAAGCAAGCUACAAAGUGGCCAUGUUAAGACGGUUGAUGUCAUGGACCUGUAGACCUGACACAAACUAUUAUUUUCUGAAAGAUAAUGUAAAUGACAAGAGCAAAAUUCACUAGUUUUAAGUUUUAAUAAUAACAGACAACUUUGCAUUACUUAUAACUCACGUUUAAAAUGUUCAUGAGGCAAAAGUCAUUUUAAACUCAUGUAAAUGUAAGGUAUUUCAUACAGUUUGUUCAAUGUUAUCUGACUCUUCACAUAUGAAUGAAAGGCAGAAUUUGUGUUUUUAGAGUUGUUCACAUCUGCCUGAGUGACUCAUAUUUGGUUAUUUUGUCAUUUGAAAAAUAAAGACAAUUGUGACAAUGAAAUUUGUUUUAUAACCGUGUGUUGUACACUUAACUACAUUUUUGUAGUUAAAAAAUGUCCGAAAAAACUAUUGACCCCCGGGCCCCUUCACUUUAUCAAAUCUGG